RNAcentral lists this signal recognition particle RNA (148 nucleotides) under Homo sapiens (human). RNAcentral describes it as "Metazoan signal recognition particle RNA". It matches the Rfam family "Metazoan signal recognition particle RNA". From Rfam's summary of the family: The signal recognition particle (SRP) is a universally conserved ribonucleoprotein. Lineage: Eukaryota; Metazoa; Chordata; Mammalia; Primates; Hominidae. The record is from Rfam by way of RNAcentral.
GCCAGGUGCGGUGGUGUGUGCCUGUAGUCCCAGCUACUUGGGAGGCUGAGCCAGGAGGAUCACUGGAGCCUAGGAGUUCAAGGCUGCAGUGAACUGUGAUCGCACCACUGCACUCCAGCCUGGGUGACACAGUGAGACCCUGUCUCUA